CUUUGAGAGAUUCGGAGUGGUUUCUGUUUGAUGAUGACUCAUCUUUGUCCAGGAACUGGAAAUCGUGGGAGCAGAGGAAAUGGGUCUCAGGAAGAAUGGUGCUGAGCCAAGCUGCCCUGUGCCUGGAAAGGGGGCCAGGAGAGUGCUAGAAACUGAGAACCAGCACCCUCCACAGACCAAGGUACUGAAGACCCCAAGACUCCUGCCUCUUUUCAGCUGAGUUCCUUGCUUCCCUGCCCCUGCCCCCUACUUCCCCGCUGAUGCGAUGGUUAAAGUGCACAUCUAGGUAUGAUUUACUGCG
Molecule: long non-coding RNA, 301 nt
Filed under: Bos indicus x Bos taurus (hybrid cattle)
Lineage: Eukaryota; Metazoa; Chordata; Mammalia; Artiodactyla; Bovidae
Description: lncRNA (ENSBIXG00000012100.1)
Source: RNAcentral